Molecule: microRNA precursor, 61 nt
Organism: Bos taurus (domestic cattle)
Lineage: Eukaryota; Metazoa; Chordata; Mammalia; Artiodactyla; Bovidae
Source: Ensembl
CAAAAAGUUUGUUUGGGUUUUUCCAUCGCAUCUUACAGGCUAACCUGGAUGAACUUUUUGG